Molecule: long non-coding RNA, 8248 nt
Organism: Ictalurus punctatus (channel catfish)
Lineage: Eukaryota; Metazoa; Chordata; Actinopteri; Siluriformes; Ictaluridae
Source: Ensembl
CCUCCUUCCUCUCUCUCCCUCUCUCCCUCUGUCAGACGUGUGCUCUCACACUCGAUCGCUCAGUCUCCCGCUCUCCCCCUCCCUCGUUCCCCAUCCUCACACACACUCUCUCUCUCUCUCUCUGUCACACACACACACACACACACACAUACACACACACACCCUAUCAGCGGAAGGUGCUGGCAGUAGCAGCAGAGGAAGAAGGGAUGCAGGCGUGUGAAUGAGUGAGCGUCCUCCUUCAGCGUGGAUUUACUGAACAAAAGAGGAGCAGCGUCUCUCUUUUUAUUUCUGCUUCCAUCUUUUUUCCUCCUCCGUCUCUCAUCCAUCGGCUUGCUGGUGCUGGUGGUGCUGGUGGUCUUGUUGUUUUUCGAGGCUGGAGGAGGACGGAGGACGGAGGACGAGUGCCCCUGCCUUCUGUUUCCUGCUUCACAUUCGCACUUGUUCAGUGUUUUUUGAGGUCGCCUCCUCCUCGAGGACUGCACUCGUUUUUUUCGUGUUCUCUCUUUCCCAGCGGAGGCCUUUUGUCUCGGUGCGGCGUUGAACGGAGCUAUUGUUGGACACACAGGCCUCGCGCUGCUCUCUCUCUCUCUCUCUCUCUCUCCUUCUCUCUCUCCCUCCGCAGUAUCCUUCCCUCCCUCCCUCCCUCCCUCCCUCUUACUCCAUCCUCUCAUUCCGAGGCACCUUGCUUAAAUCCGGUAUCCAUCCUUCUGUCCAUCAUUCUUAAUGUGUGUUCUGCGGAGUGUGUAUCCCGAUGUUUGGCUUCGGGUCAUCCGGAUUGGCUCAAGCCGAGCCUGUGUGUCGUUCCUAGUGUGUGUGUGCGUGUGUGUGUGUGCGGGUGUGUGUGAAGAAACCAUGCAUCUAGCCUGAUGCCAGGACCGGGGUGCCCCAUUCCAAUGUGGGAGGACUAAAGCGUCACAUUUGCACCCCCCUUCCUCCCUACCCCUUUACCCCCUUGCUCCCUCACCCCCUUUUUGCCCCGUUCCCGUCCUGUCCCCUCCAACGCAACGAUGAAGAAAACGCGCAACCUGCGGCGGGCAUGGCCCGGUCCGGACGGACCCGAUUUGGGCUCCGAUCGCGACAAGGACUACCGGCUCCACAAGCACUUCCCCCCUUCUCUCCCCCCUCUUGCGCCCUACAUCGCUCAAGGUGGGUGCAACUUAUAUUAGCCUAGUGUCCAAAUUUUUUUUUUUUAAAGCCUAUAGUGUAAAUGCUCAUCUAAUAUGUGUGUAUAUAAAAAAUAGAAAUACAUAGUUCUGUUUUUUUUCUCUCUUACACACACACAUUGCUAGCCUGCUAGCAUCCUGGCUUCUAGCUCUAGUGUCUGGGCCUGGUUCUGUUUUUCUCUACUAGAGUGUGUUUGUUACAAAAAAAAGGGGUGUGUGUGUGUGUGUGUGUGUGCUGAUGUUCGUGUCUUUCCUGAAUGAUAUCAAGGUGUAGAGAUAAGAUAAUGAGAGGGGGAAAAAAACAGGAAGCAUACAAGCCCUCAUCCACCAUUUUGGUCCUUGGCUUGGGAAUUACAUCACCGAGGUUGUGGAUAAAAAUUCAAGCUGCCGGCCUCCGUGUUCUCGUCUCAGCUCCUUUUCAUGACUAGGAUGAAAACGAGAGCAGAGAGAAUGAGAGAGAGAGAGAGAGAAAGAUAUUUCAUGAGAGAGAGCGUGAGAGAGAGAGAAGGGGAAGAAAAAUGGAGUGGAGAAGGACCUAGCGUCCGUUUUUUUCCCUCCAUUUUGGUGAUGGCUGCAUCGUCCUGGUGUGUGUUAGCGCAGGACAGUUGGGGUGAUUAGCAUCGGCCAUGGUGCGGUGACGAAACUCCGUGUCAAACGUCACUUCGGUCCGAUAGUGAGAAGGAGGACUGACGAGAGAGACAGAGAGGAAGUGGAGAGUCUGCUCAAUGUCUCUGUUUUCUCUGUGUCUCACUACACACUUGAAAACCAGUCUCCGUUUUUGUUAGCAUAAUGUGCGUGUGUGUGUUAGCAUGUGACGGUGUGUAAGUGUAGUAGUGUGUGUGUGUAUCCUCGUGUGCUGCCAGGAGAGAGGGUGGGUGGAGAGAGUUAGCCUAGCUGACGUCGUUAGCUUACAGGCUAACCCUCUGCGCACUUGCUGCUAGCAUGCUAGACCCAAAGUCGCUGUCGUAGCACAGUGGAGUCUUAAGUAUCAUCGUUUCGUAUUUUGUAAUUUGUUUCUAAUAAUCGUAUCGCUGAGAUUAAUUCGAACGAGAGGAUUUUUGUAGAAGGCAUACGCUCUGUGUUUAGCUUCGUGUAUAAAAUUCUAACAUUGUAACAACAUGUUUACACUGUCUUACUGAUGAGUGUAAUGUUUACUGAACUGGCAACCAAAUAAAAAAAAAUAAUAAAAAAACAGGAUCCAUUUUUAUUGUUUGGGCCUUUGCAGUGUUUCAUUCGAAGCAGUGUGUUUUAGCGCUGAUUAUAAAAAAAAUAUAUUUUAAAGUAUUGUGUUGAAUAAUUUGUCAUUCGGUUUAUCCUGAGGUAAUAUUUUCGUUGUUUUAUGUUCUGUUUUUCGUGCCUGAAAAUCUUCUGCGUCACGUUUCGUUUGUAGCACAUUGGAUCACUUAUCAUAUUAGCACGAUACCAGACUAACAAAUAAAAGAACUGAUGUUAGAAAUAGAUUUUUUUUUUGCACCCAAUGUCAAAUAUUACCUCAGGAACUGCACAGUAACUAGGCUAAUUGCAAAACUGUAAAUAGGGUAAGCCAUGAACCAGCAUUAAGCAAUGCUGCUUUGUGUGUAAACCAUUCUGUACAAUGCUAGUUUGUUUGUUACGCAUUCUCUACAAUGCUAGUUUGUCCAUUUUACAGUAAUGAAACUUCAUGAGGUAAUGUUUCUCUAUGUAAUAUGUAGCUGUUCAGCAUCACUUUGCUUUUGUAGCACAUCAGGUCAACACGUUAGCAUUAUACGAAACCAACAAAUAAUAUAAAACGGAUAUUAGACAGAUGUUUUGACUCAUUGUUCUACAGGAACUUUCAGUCACUAAACAUUAUACAAUGUAUAAAAAAUAUUACCUCAUGACCAUUGCAGUACCAGGCUAAUUACAGACUAGCACUGCUGCAAACAGACGAACUAACAAAUUAGCGUUAUUUAUAUAUAAGUUUAAUUGCUAAAUAAUCACACAGACCUGGGGUGUUGUUUAGCUGCUAAGACACAAAAACAAGCUAUUUAAAAAAAAUUAAACUAGCUUUAACUAUAAAGCAAUUUUGUGGUUAAUCUUUUUACAGUGUGUAUGUGUGCCAUCAAAAAAAGUUUUGAUCUAAUAUUUGAUCAUUUUCUGUCAGAAAAUAUACAAAAUACAAAAACAGCACCUCAUGAAAUGCCAUUAUAGUAAACAGGCAAACAAAUGAACUAGCAUUGUAGGAAGCACUUACACUCAAUCCCUAAUUUUGUAAGUCUUAGUCCUAAUUUGCUGGCCUUGCAUAACACUAAUGUUUUGACACAGUGCGGAAAGUAAUAUGCAACAUUUUGUGUCAUAAAAUAUACGACAUUAGAACAUUACCUCAUGACCUACCAUUUAGUAAAUAACUAAAAUGAACUAGCAUUGUAGAGAAUAGCUAACACACAAACUUGUAUUACUGCAACAAAAAUAACGGAUUAAUUAGCUGGUUUGCCUUUAGCAAAAUUAGCCUAAGAUAAGCCUGGUGUCUUAGCCUGGCUACUUCAGUGCUAGUUCAUAGCUUAUCCUAUUUAUAACAAUAUCAAUUUAUAACAAUGCUAAUAAGUAGCUUUUGUUGUCCUGUGGUGCUAGUUCAUUCGCCAGUUUAUUGUCAUGUUCAUGCUGCACUGCAAUUGUAAAAUGGAAAUUUUGUGACUGAAAUGUUCUGUCCCGUUGCCUUUGUACUAUUAUGCUAGGUUAAUGGUUAGCUUAUUUACUGUAAAACUAGUUUGUUAGUUAGCCUAGCAUAAUAUUAUGCUAGUUGUAGGUUAGCCUAAUUACUAUAAUGCUAGUUUGUGGGAUAGUCUUUUUUUUACCAUAAUGCUAGUUUGUGGUUUAGUCUUGUUACUGUACCACUCGUUAAUAUUUUAGGUGUUUAGUAUGUUAGUUUAUGGGUUACCCAGUUUAUUAUAAUGCUACUUUGUUUACUUUAAUGCUAUCUGGCUUGUUAUUAUAUAAUGCUAAUAUCUCAAUUAGCCUGUUUACAAUAAUUCUAGUUAAUGGGUACCGUUAAUUUUAAUACUAGUUAAAAUGGCUUAUUGUUAAUGUUAGUUUGUGGAUUAGCGUAUUUACUGUAAUGCUGAAUUUUCUGUUAGCCUGUUCACUGGAAUGCUAGCUGGUGGUUAGACUGUUUGUUGCAGUAAAUGUUUUUUUUGUUGUUGUUGUUAUUGUUGUUUUUAAUUGUUAGUUCAUGGAUUAAUCUGUUUAUUAACAUGGUGGUUGUUCCUAUGGACGCUGUUUUUCAGGCUUUCCCUACAUUCACACUAGCAAAUGACUAGACUUUAUUCUCCUAAAGUUAAGUAUUAUGCAGGAAACGAAACUGGCUCGUAUGAUUCCUCAGAUAUCUGCAGUUAGUUCCUAUUUACUGUUUACACAAACAUGGAAGAAAAAUUCAAAAAUCUUAUCCUGUCAUACACAACCUCUCAUUAAAAUGUGUAUAGAGACAAUGCGGCGAGAAAUAAAGCUUGGAAGGGAGUAGCAGAGAUCGUUGGUGCAUCUGGUGAGUGUACGUACCUAGACCAGGUAUCUUGCUAGGACGAAAAUCAAAAACACCAAAUCCAAUUUUCACACUGAUUCAAUUUGUAACUAGUCAGCUUUAAAAGAUCAUAAUAAAGAUCAUAAUAAAUAUCAUAAUAAAGAUCAUUAUAAAGAUCAUAAUAGGAUCAUAAUAAAGAUCAUAAUAAGAUCAUAAUAAGAUCAUAAUUUUUCUAAUCAUAGCUUCUUUUUUGCUAUUCUUGGCUUAGUAGCAUGCUUAGAUCAGCCUUUGUUGUGUGUAUGCGUGUGCGUGUGUGUGUGUGUGUUUUCUGGGUCUCCUUUGUGUAACAUGAAUGCCAGCUGUGUGUACACACUCCUCACCUGUACAGCGGCCUUGUACCUCUCCUCACUCUCUUACCCUUCAUCAUGCCAUUAUUAUUUAUUUUUCCCAUAAGCCUAUUCCCACUGAUCGCUGAGUCAGUUUGCCUUCUGAUAUUCAAAGAAACGUGUGUGUGUGUGCGUGUGUGUGUGUGUGUAUGUGUGUGUGUGUGUGUGUUUAUACAGCAGACAUUUAAUGUAGGAUCAAAUCACUGGUAUUGUGGACGCAUUAUUGUUCGACAUCCUAAUCAGUUAACGAGUGUGUGCUGAGAAUCAGCUAUACGAUACUUUAUGGUAAAUUAUAUGAUCUACGGGCUCAGUAGUAUUAUUAUAUUGUUAUUGUUAGACUUUUUUUAUUUAAUUUAUUUUUUUUACUUUUUGUGAAUCAAAAAAUAUCAUGAGGUGUGACUAUUUCAUUGUGUGUGAAAUUUCAGGCAUAAAUAUAACCAUAGGCUCUUGCUGUGUGUCCAUCUAACACACACACACACACACACACACACACACACACACACACUGUCCCAGCUGCAGUAGAGCCUGUGAUUUAGGCGUGGGAGAAAAAGGAGGCCACGGUGGUGCAUUAAUAGCCGAGCCUCUGUAGUAACACGCGUAAAAGAGCGAAUGAGUGAGUGAGGGAGGGAAGGAGAGUACAAGGGAUAGUGAGGAAGGAGGGAGGGAUGGAGAGAGAGAUGCCAUGUGUGUAACUGCAAUCUCCACCUCCAGUUAGCUACGGUUUAGCUGUCACAUUUAUGGUUUUUGACCUUUUGCAACAGCGGAGACGUCUAAAAACUACGCUUUUCUCUUUUUUCAGCUAAAACAGCAGUCAGAUUAAAACUAAUCAAAUUUACCCGACUGACUGAAGGGGAAAGGACGCGGGAUGUGAAAUACAGGUACUUUCACGUCUCGUGUCCUGAACUUUUGUCUUACUGGUUUCUUACUAUUGAUUGGCUGAAGAAAAUCGGUCUCAUCCAUUGUUCUGUGGUAAAUGUACGUUGUUGUUUUUUGCUCAGAGCUUGCUGGGAGUUUCGUAUGGAAUACUAUAGUGUAUGUAACACUUAAGUUUACAGAAUACUAAAAUGUACAGAAUACUGAAGUCUACAGUGUACUGUUGUUUACAGAGUACCGAAGUACGCAGAAUACUGAAGUGCACUUCAUAUUGUAGUGUAUGGAAUACUGUAGUAUACAGACAACUGAAGUGUUUGUAAUACUGAAGCAGGUCUAAUAUUGUAGUGUAUGGAAUAUGGAAGACUAUGGAAUACUGAAGCGGACAUAAUAUCGUAGCAGAUGGAAUACGGAAGUGUAUGGAACGAUGUGGUGUAGCGAAUACAGGCGUGAGCGGAAGUACUGACACGUAUGGAAUACUGAAGUGUACAGAAUACUGAAAAGUGUAAUGCUGUAGUGUAGAUAAUAAGGUAGGUUAGGGAGUACUGAAGUGUAAGGAAUGAUGACGUGUACACAAUACUGAAGUGUAGGGAAGGACUGAAGUAUGCGGAAUACUGACGUGUACAUAAUAAUGUAGUGCACGGAAUACUGAAGUCUAAGGGGUAAUGAAGCAUUGGGAAUACUGAAGUGUCAGGAAUACUGAAGUAUACAGAAUGCUAAAGUAUAUGGAAUGAUAAAGUAUAUGGAGCGAUGAAGUGUAGGGAAUACUGAAGUGUGCGGAAUACUGAAGUGUAGGUAAUACUAUAGUGUAUGGAAUAUUGAAGCGUAUGGAAUCCUGAAGUGUAUGGAAUACUGAAGCGUAUGGAAUCCUGAAGUGUAUGGAAUACUGAAGCGUAUGGAAUCCUGAAGCGUAUGGAAUACUGAAGUGUAUGGAAUACUGAAGCGUAUGGAAUCCUGAAGUGUAUGGAAUACUAUAGUCUAUGGAAUACCAAAUACAAUUUUUUCUAGAGACUUUUCUAAUACUUUAAUGUAGGUAAUACUGUAGUGUAGGGAAUACUGAUGUGUACAGAAUACUAUAGUGUAGGGAAUUCUAUAUCUGAAAUACUGAAGUGUACAAAAUAUUGUAGUGUAUGGAAUAUUGAAGCAUAUGGAAUACUGAAGCGUAUGGAAUCCUGAAGUGUAUGGAAUAUUGAAGCGUAUGGAAUACUGAAGCGUAUGGAAUACUGAAGUGUAUGGAAUACUGAAGCGUAUGGAAUCCUGAAUCAUAUGGAAUAAUGAGGUGUACAGAAUACUGAACUGUACACAGUAGUGAAGUGUGUGGAAUGAUGAAGUGUAUGGAAUACUAUAGUCUAUGGAAUACCAAAUACAAUUUUUUCUAGAGACUUUUGUAAUACUUUAAUGUAGGUAAUACUGUAGUGUAGGGAAUACUGAAGUGUACAGAAUACUAUAGUGUAGGGAAUUCUAUAUCUGAAAUACUGAAGUGUACAAAAUACUGUAGUGUAUGGAAUACUGGAGUGUGUGUAAUGGUGAAGUGUACGGAAUACUGGAGUGUGUGUAAUGGUGAAGUGUAGGGAAUAAUAUAGUGUAUGGAAUACUGAAGUGUAUGGAAUACUGGAGUGUGUGUAAUGGUGAAGUGUAGGGAAUACUGGAGUGUGUGGAAUACUAUAGUGUAUGGAAUACUGGAGUGUGUGGAAUACUGGAGUGUGUGUAAUGGUGAAGUGUAGGGAAUACUGGAGUGUGUGUAAUGGUGAAGUGUACGGAAUACUGGAGUGUGUGUAAUGGUGAAGUGUACGGAAUACUGGAGUGUGUGUAAUGGUGAAGUGUAGGGAAUACUGGAGUGUGUGUAAUGGUGAAGUGUAGGGAAUACUAUAGUUUAUGGAAUACUGAAGUGUACGGAAUACCGGAGUGUUCCGUACUGUACUGGAGUGAAGCUAUACUGGCUUAGAAUUUUCUAAUGACUAGCGUUAGCUUAAUUUACUGUGGUGCAGUCAUUUGUUAAGGCUAACAUUAGCUCAUUUUAAUAAAUCACUUCCAUUUUGAAUAACGCACUCUCAUGGAAAAGAACUGGAAGCUAAGUCAGAUUUGCAUGUGCUCUCAGCCAUAAUUGUUUUUCUUUUGCCUCCGAUUUGCUUGACUGAGACCCUAUAUGUGAAUUUCUGCCCUCUUCAGAUUGAGUUAUUAAACUGACUCUCCAUUUGACAUCACUUUGAAAAUGUUCCAGAAAAAUACUGACAGAAAUACCAAUCGCCUUUAUUUUUGUCUACGUUAUCAGUAAUGUCAUAAUUAUUUCAACGGUACUUAUGUGAUAAUCUUACAGUCCUCAAUAGACCUUGAGCUUUAAAAAGGCUAAAACAGAC